GAUGAACGCUGGCGGCGUGCCUAACACAUGCCAGUCGAGCGACCGCACGGGAAGAUCGUUCUCUUGCUGUUAGCGGCGGGCGGGUGAGUAAGACGUGCAUCACCUUCUUCUUAGACUUGGAUAAUUUCGGGAAACAGGUGAUGCUAACGGCUCAUAUUUUCUACCGCAUGGUUCAAAAGUGAUUGACGGUUUUGCUGUCUCAUAUAGAUGGAUCCGCGCUGCAUUAGUUGGUUGGUAAGGUAACGGCUUACCAAGGCAACGAUGCAUAGCUGACCUGAGAGGGUGAUCAGCCACACUGGAACUGAGACACGGUCCAGACUCCUACGGGAGGCAGCAGUGGGGAAUCUUCCACAAUGGGCGAAAGCCUGACGGAGCAACACCGCGUGAGUGAAGAAGGUCUUCGGAUCGUAAAACUCUGUUAUUAGGAAAGAACAGAUGUGGAAGAAACUGUGGACGUCUUGACGGUACCUAAACAGAAAGCCACGGCUAACUACGUG
This 497-nucleotide ribosomal RNA is filed under the name uncultured bacterium. RNAcentral describes it as "partial 16S ribosomal RNA". It matches the Rfam family "Bacterial small subunit ribosomal RNA", at positions 28 to 507 of the family's 1533-position model. The record is from RNAcentral.